RNAcentral lists this ribosomal RNA (561 nucleotides) under uncultured bacterium. Its description in RNAcentral is "bacterial SSU rRNA". It matches the Rfam family "Bacterial small subunit ribosomal RNA", at positions 338 to 916 of the family's 1533-position model. The record is from RNAcentral.
CCUACGGGAGGCAGCAGUGGGGAAUAUUGGACAAUGGGCGAAAGCCUGAUCCAGCAAUGCCGCGUGAGUGAUGAAGGCCUUAGGGUUGUAAAGCUCUUUUACCAGGGAUGAUAAUGACAGUACCUGGAGAAUAAGCUCCGGCUAACUCCGUGUCAGCAGCCGCGGUAAUACGGAGGGAGCUAGCGUUGUUCGGAAUUACUGGGCGUAAAGCGUACGUAGGCGGUUAUUCAAGUCAGAGGUGAAAGCCUGGAGCUCAACUCCAGAACUGCCUUUGAAACUAGAUAGCUAGAAUCUUGGAGAGGUGAGUGGAAUUCCGAGUGUAGAGGUGAAAUUCGUAGAUAUUCGGAAGAACACCAGUGGCGAAGGCGACUCACUGGACAAGUAUUGACGCUGAGGUACGAAAGCGUGGGGAGCAAACAGGAUUAGAUACCCUGGUAGUCCACGCCGUAAACGAUGAUAACUAGCUGUUCGGGCUCUACGAGCUUGAGUGGCGCAGCUAACGCAUUAAGUUAUCCGCCUGGGGAGUACGGUCGCAAGAUUAAAACUCAAAUGAAUUGACGG